Molecule: ribosomal RNA, 568 nt
Filed under: uncultured archaeon
Lineage: Archaea
Description: bacterial SSU rRNA
Rfam family: Archaeal small subunit ribosomal RNA
Source: RNAcentral
CGGGGUGCAGCAGGCGCGAAAACUUUACAAUGCUGGCAACAGCGAUAAGGGGACCUCGAGUGCCAGGAUACAAUCUUGGCUGUCGUGAUGCCUAAAAGGCAUUACAUAGCAAGGGCCGGGCAAGACCGGUGCCAGCCGCCGCGGUAACACCGGCGGCUCGAGUGGUAACCGCUAUUAUUGGGUCUAAAGGGUCUGUAGCCGGCCGGAUAAGUCUCUUGGGAAAUCCGACAGCUCAACUGUCGGGCUUUCAGGGGAUACUGUUCGGCUCGAGGCCGGGAGAGGUGAGAGGUACUUCAGGGGUAGGGGUGAAAUCUUGAGAUCCUUGAAGGACCACCAGUGGCGAAGGCGUCUCACCAGAACGGUCCUGACGGCAAGGGACGAAAGCUAGGGGCACGAACCGGAUUAGAUACCCGGGUAGUCCUAGCCGUAAACGAUACUCGCUAGGUGUCGGCCACGGUGCGACCGUGGUCGGUGCCGUAGGGAAGCCGUGAAGCGAGCCACCUGGGAAGUACGGCCGCAAGGCUGAAACUUAAAGGAAUUGGCGGGGGAGCACAAGGGCGAUUCGCGG